AGUGAACGCUGGCGGUAUGCCUAACACAUGCAAGUCGAACGGCAGCGCACUAAGAUCUUGCUCUUACGGGUUGCGGAUGGCGGACGGAUGAGGAAUACAUCGUAAUCUACUUUUUCGUGUGGGAUUACGUAGGGAGACUUACUCUAAUACCGCACACGACCUACGGUUGAAAUCAGGAGAGCUUUUGACCUUGGGCGUGUGAAUGAGCCGAUGUCGGAUGUGCUAGUUGGCGGGGUCAAGGCCCACCAAGGCGAAUAUCCGUAGCUGGUCUGAGAGGAUGAUAGGCCACACUGGAACUGAGACAGGGUCAAGACUCCUACGGGAGGGAGCAGUGGGCAAUAUUAGACAGUGGGCGCAAGCAUGAUACAGCCAUACCGAGUGGGUGAAGAAGGCCUUCGGGUUGUAAAGACCUUCUGCUGGGAAAGAAAAGCAGCAGGUUAAUACCCAGCUGUUCUGACGGUACCCAAAGAAUAAGCACCGGCUAACUUCGUG
This 492-nucleotide ribosomal RNA is filed under the name uncultured bacterium. Its description in RNAcentral is "partial 16S ribosomal RNA". It matches the Rfam family "Bacterial small subunit ribosomal RNA", at positions 29 to 507 of the family's 1533-position model. The record is from RNAcentral.